This 499-nucleotide ribosomal RNA is filed under the name Veillonella parvula. RNAcentral describes it as "bacterial SSU rRNA". It matches the Rfam family "Bacterial small subunit ribosomal RNA", at positions 28 to 496 of the family's 1533-position model. The record is from RNAcentral. Lineage: Bacteria; Bacillati; Bacillota; Negativicutes; Veillonellales; Veillonellaceae.
GACGAACGCUGGCGGCGUGCUUAACACAUGCAAGUCGUACGAAGAGCGAUGGAAGCUUGCUUCUAUCAAUCUUAGCGGCGAACGGGUGAGUAACGCGUAAUCAACCUGCCCUUCAGAGGGGGACAACAGUUGGAAACGACUGCUAAUACCGCAUACGAUCUAAACUCGGCAUCGAGGAUAGAUGAAAGGUGGCCUCUACAUGUAAGCUAUCACUGAAGGAGGGGAUUGCGUCUGAUUAGCUAGUUGGAGGGGUAACGGCCCACCAAGGCGAUGAUCAGUAGCCGGUCUGAGAGGAUGAACGGCCACAUUGGGACUGAGACACGGCCCAGACUCCUACGGGAGGCAGCAGUGGGGAAUCUUCCGCAAUGGACGAAAGUCUGACGGAGCAACGCCGCGUGAGUGAUGACGGCCUUCGGGUUGUAAAGCUCUGUUAAUCGGGACGAAAGGCCUUCUUGCGAAUAGUGAGAAGGAUUGACGGUACCGGAAUAGAAAGCCCGGG